RNAcentral lists this ribosomal RNA (497 nucleotides) under uncultured bacterium. RNAcentral describes it as "partial 16S ribosomal RNA". It matches the Rfam family "Bacterial small subunit ribosomal RNA", at positions 28 to 507 of the family's 1533-position model. The record is from RNAcentral.
GAUGAACGCUGGCGGCGUGCCUAAUACAUGCAAGUCGAGCGAACAGAUGAGGAGCUUGCUCCUCUGACGUUAGCGGCGGACGGGUGAGUAACACGUGGAUAACCUACCUAUAAGACUGGGAUAACUUCGGGAAACCGGAGCUAAUACCGGAUAAUAUAUUGAACCGCAUGGUUCAAUAGUGAAAGACGGUUUUGCUGUCACUUAUAGAUGGAUCCGCGCCGCAUUAGCUAGUUGGUAAGGUAACGGCUUACCAAGGCAACGAUGCGUAGCCGACCUGAGAGGGUGAUCGGCCACACUGGAACUGAGACACGGUCCAGACGCCUACGGUAGGCAGCAGUAGGGAAUCUUCCGCAAUGGGCGAAAGCCUGACGGAGCAACGCCGCGUGAGUGAUGAAGGUCUUCGGAUCGUAAAACUCUGUUAUUAGGGAAGAACAAAUGUGUAAGUAACUAUGCACGUCUUGACGGUACCUAAUCAGAAAGCCACGGCUAACUACGUG